RNAcentral lists this long non-coding RNA (2451 nucleotides) under Mytilus galloprovincialis (Mediterranean mussel). The record is from RNAcentral. Lineage: Eukaryota; Metazoa; Mollusca; Bivalvia; Mytilida; Mytilidae.
UACACGGUCAUGUGAUUGUUAACUACUUAUAUAUUGAUCGAUGAAAAUAUAACAUGAUAUGAUACAACGAGUAAAACAACAGAUAUCUGAAAAUGUCUUGCAAAGUAACAUGCGUAUUAGUAAUUUUACUAUGGGUUACAUAUAUAUCAAUUGGAUGUCGGUGCUUUUUUGAUCAUCCACAAAGAAUAUUUUGCAGGGAAGAUUCUGUCGGUGAGUACUUAGUUUAGCUUUCAUUCACCUCAGAAUUAUGUAAGUAAAUUCUUAUCUGUUCCUCCAGAUUUCAAUUGUACCCCAAUUUUGACAUUUUUACCUAUAAUGUAUGUUUGUUUUGUUUACCCAUCAUCGUUUAUAUCAUGCAUAUAAUGGUAUUUCAGGCGACUAGCACACAGGUGAGAGGUUUAGCUAGCUAAAAACAAGUUAAAUCCAUCAUUUAUUACGCAAGAAAAAACUGUACGAAGUCAAGAAGAUGACAGUUAUUAGUUUGAUAUGUUUGAGCUUUUGAUUUAGUCGUAUAAUUACGGACUUCCCGUUUUGAUGUUUCCUCGUAGUUUGGUAUGUUAUUUCACUUUUUUAAUAUGUCAAUUGAAUAAGUGAUACACUACGAAACAUGAUACUAGUAAGUGAAAUAAAAUUCUCACGAUUUAUUUUUUCUACAACAUUUAUUCAACAAAAACGAUUAAAUCCUACAACUAUCGUAUUGCUAGAGUCAAAAUGAAUAACAAAAUUGGACAGGGUGCAAUACAACUCUUUAAUUCUUACGACGUUUCAGUCAAGUCAGUUGUUCAAACAAAGAGAAAGAAAGUUAAAUUGUAAAAGGCUUUUUGUUCUCCCAUUUUGAACUUCUUUUAAUAGGCAUUACCUUUCAGUGUUUGAUUGUCAAAUAAUUUUUCAUAUUUUUUUAUAUGAAUUUCACGUAUUCAUAAAUCUGUCCAAUUGAUUGCAAUUCAUAUUGUGUAUCACCGUUUCGCAUACAAGAAUCUGUCAACGCUCCGUGUCCCCCCUUCUGUUUUAUUAAUCGUCCUCUGUUUAUGUUGUAAUGAUACAUACCUUAAACAACUUGUAAGCUUUUUAAGGAUGUUCGCUUGUCAUGUUUUUGGAUUUUUGUCAGAUUUUCGGAAUACUCUGGUGUUAUUCAUUUGAAUGCCUUAAAAAUUGGCUCAUUGCCCCCAAUUUUUCUUUUUAUAAAUAAAAGUCUUAUGAAAUCGUUGUUAUUCUUUAAAAGUUUUUGAGAGCUUUAACUUGUCAAUGAUAAAGCAAGGAAAAAUCAAAAGAGAUAAUUUCCCCGCCAAAUUUUCAAAGGCUAAUAUCUCGAAAAUGAUUGUAUAAAAAUAAAAGAACUGAAAAAAGUGAGAGAAAAAUGAAUGAUCUGUGUACUGUUUUUUUUAAAUACAAGCACUUCACAUUUGGCGGGAAAUAACUGUCUCUAAAUCUAUUGUACAUUUAACAUUGGAUCUAUUUUUUUUGUUAAAAAUGUGAAAAAGUACCAAUUAUUUUGUAAAAUUUCAUAAUGUAUCAUUUUUAAUUUAAUGUAAUAAAAUUUGGAAACGAAAAGUGAGGGAUAGUAGGUAAAAUUUACAAUGUCAUUCCAUGGAUAAAAUUUUAGGAUUCCGUAUAUCUGACAAAAUUUUUUAAAUAAGAUAAGAGGAGGCUUAGCUAGCUAUAAAACAAGGUGUAAUCCACCUUUCUACAUUAGGAAAUGCUUUAAACAAGUUAGGAUGAUGACAGUUGUUAUUCAUCGUUUGAUGAGUUUGAGUUUUUGAAUUUGACACUUGAUUUUCAAGUUAUAUUCCGGUUUUUUCAGAGUUUCGUUUUUUUUUGUUAAUUUGUUUUUUUACCGAUGUUGAGAUCUCGUUAAUCGACUUAAAAGAUUAAAAAAAAAAGAUUAUAUUGAAAAGCUCCAGCAAUGACGCAUUUGUGUGUAUUCCAACCAAAUUUGCAAUAGACGAAAUCGUACUAAGAUAGAAACAGGAAAAAGUUUUGUCCCAAUGAUUUUAUUAAUUGAAUUACUGGUAUGUAUGUUUUCCUAAAACAUGAUGUGUUUAUAUUUUCAAAAAAUAAAUCUGAAGUAAUUUUCGGAACUAAAAAUGGUUUCCGUUAUAAAAAGAGUUCUCACACAGACGUUUUUUGCAAAGGUUAGAUUUCUUAUACAAUAAUCUCGACGGUGAGUCGAGGACUGUGGUGUUAGUUUUUCGAAGUAAGGUUUAUUUUCUCCAUCGUGUAGGAAUAACUUCUAAUAAAUGCCUUAGUUUUAAUCAGUUUGAAAGAGAAAAAAAAUUAUGUGUGUAAAGGUUUGGAUUUUCUAAUGAUGUGAUGGUUUAAGGGGGUGCCUUUGUCUGAUUUGAUUAUGUGCCAAUAACCAUGUUUUAUCCUUUCUUAGUUCUGGUCGGGAGAGUAAUAAAAAAGGAAAUUCCUAAAGGAGGAUAUAAGAUAAAACAUCACUUCAAACUACUC